AUUGAACGCUGGCGGCAGGCCUAACACAUGCAAGUCGAGCGGAUGAAGGGAGCUUGCUCCUGGAUUCAACGGCGGACGGGUGAGUAAUGCCUAGGAAUCUGCCUGGUAGUGGGGGAUAACGUCCGGAAACGGGCGCUAAUACCGCAUACGUCCUGAGGGAGAAAGUGGGGGAUCUUCGGACCUCACGCUAUCAGAUGAGCCUAGGUCGGAUUAGCUAGUUGGUGGGGUAAAGGCCUACCAAGGCGACGAUCCGUAACUGGUCUGAGAGGAUGAUCAGUCACACUGGAACUGAGACACGGUCCAGACUCCUACGGGAGGCAGCAGUGGGGAAUAUUGGACAAUGGGCGAAAGCCUGAUCCAGCCAUGCCGCGUGUGUGAAGAAGGUCUUCGGAUUGUAAAGCACUUUGAGUUGGGAGGAAGGGCAGUAAGUUAAUACCUUGCUGUUGUGACGUUACCAACAGAAUAAGCACCGGCUAACUUCGUG
Molecule: ribosomal RNA, 484 nt
Filed under: uncultured bacterium
Lineage: Bacteria
Description: partial 16S ribosomal RNA
Rfam family: Bacterial small subunit ribosomal RNA
Source: RNAcentral